AUUGAACGCUGGCGGCAUGCUUUACACAUGCAAGUCGAACGGCAGCGCGGGCUUCGGCCUGGCGGCGAGUGGCGAACGGGUGAGUAAUACAUCGGAACGUGCCCAGUAGUGGGGGAUAGCUCGGCGAAAGCCGGAUUAAUACCGCAUACGACCUGAGGGUGAAAGCGGGGGAUCUUCGGACCUCGCGCUAUUGGAGCGGCCGAUGGCAGAUUAGCUAGUUGGUGGGGUAAAGGCCUACCAAGGCGACGAUCUGUAGCUGGUCUGAGAGGACGACCAGCCACACUGGGAUUGAGACACGGCCCAGACUCCUACGGGAGGCAGCAGUGGGGAAUUUUGGACAAUGGGCGAAAGCCUGAUCCAGCAAUGCCGCGUGUGUGAUGAAGGCCUUCGGGUUGUAAAGCACUUUUGGCGGGAACGAAAAGGACUGUGCCAAUACCACGGUUCGAUGACGGUACCCGCAGAAUAAGCACCGGCUAACUACGUG
RNAcentral lists this ribosomal RNA (484 nucleotides) under uncultured bacterium. Its description in RNAcentral is "partial 16S ribosomal RNA". It matches the Rfam family "Bacterial small subunit ribosomal RNA", at positions 29 to 507 of the family's 1533-position model. The record is from RNAcentral.